GUCAGCCCUGCUGGCUGUUAAUAAAGUGAGAGGAUGCGGCGUUCUGCGUGGAACGCCCAUUCUGAAAUGAGUGAUGAGCUUCAUAAUGAGGGACGCUGAGAUAGAUGGGUGGGUGACAUUUGAUAGCGGUGGGAGGUGAGAAGGGUCCCUCUCCGCUGGCAGCGGUUCUCGGCUCUGUGACACGGCCGUGGCUGCGCGGUGACUCAGAGCUGCUCGGGAUAACGCGGUGCUCCUCGCAGCGGUCGCUGAGAUCUGCAGCUCAUUGCCAGAAGGAAAUGGCAGCGCAAUUAACAAAAAAGGACCUGAAUAAAAUGUAAAGCACGUCAGGGUGUUUUUGUGUUUUCAGUGAACUCGUUACCAGUUCAAACUAGACAGAUUCAUACAUACACCUACAGUGCAACUGCGGUUCCUCGCUCCGAGGUGACAUUGUGAGGGAUCAAAGGAAGGACAUCACUCCUGAGGGCACUCAGUGGAGAAGGCCGAUCAGUGAACGCGCUGAUGAUAAGCUGCUAAAAGACAUUGCUGCUAUGGGCUAAUUCAUUUAUCCCCAUUUAAAAGACAGACGUGAGGCACGGGGAGAGGGGUAUAGGUCAUAAGGCCACACAAGAGACAGAGGGCGAAAUGUGAGAAAUCUAAGCUAGUGUUUCUUGUGCUACCAUGAAAGUACCUGUGUGCUACAGCAUCGUAGGCCACAACAUGGAAAAAAGCAAGUAUCAAAAACGUCACCUGGCUUCAGAAUUCUCGAUAAAUUUGUCAAAUCACGUUGCUUUUAACUGAAAUUAGAGUUUAUCUAGGAUAGAUAAGCCCGUAUUCUCCCAUUGUGCAGACAGUACUAUGAGACGUACAUUACGGUGAGAAGCAGACAAAACAGCUACAGGUCAGUUGCUUUCUCCCACAUCUCAUUAUCUCCAUACAGCCUUGAAAGGAAGCCACAGCGUACGCCAGGCAGUCGGUUAACUAAACCACACUCAUCCACUGAAUAUGCAGAAUACAUGUCUGUUCCCAUUUCUUUUUCUGAUUGUAAGUCCAGAUUGUUCUUCAACCAGAAAAACUGCAAUCUGAAGGACAAGAUCACUUCAAGAUGAGUCAUGACAGUAUACGUAUGUAUUGUUUUAGAAUAUCACCACUUGUACAGACACUUUCGCAGAUGUCUGGAUUUCCCUUUUUGUGAUGAGACAGCAAAUGAGACAGCAGCAGCGAGAUGACUGGGCAGGAGCUCUGCAAAGCAGAUGCUGAGGAUUAUAGAGAACCACAAGUUGGAAAUCGGUCAGAAUGUGAAGAAGGGUAUCAUACUGGUGUUUGUAUGCAGGGGUGCCAUAUCCAAAGCAUGAAGUAAACAAGCAAUUCUUUUACUAAGAACCUGAACGGAAGUGUGUCCAGUUAGAAGAACGGGUCAUGAUAAAUAUAGAGCAACCGGACAGAGUCAAGAAGAGAGUGACAAGAGUGACACAAGGAAAGACUGCAAUGACUCGGUCUAGAAAAUGUAAAAUGUACAAAAUAGGCCAUUAAAGAGAGGGAGAUGCUUUUGUUUUAUUUCCAUUAGUGGAAAUUUUAACAGCAGGCCAGAUAAAUAUUUUUCAGACGCAGUUGAAGUUGAUCCUGCCUUGAGACAAGGGACUGCACUAAAAGGACCACGAAUGACUUUUGUGGCAGUUUUCAGGAUUUCUCCUUUCUGUUUUUCUGAUCUCUGCAGUGCCAUGGAAACUGCAAUACCCUGUACUGCCCUACAGAGGCUGAAGGCCUUUUGUUAAAUCGUCUCUCAGACUUCCAUUUCUGUCAUGUGGUCUUUUGGUUUAGUAAUGUCUUCAUGAGAAUAGACUGUUUCAUGUUGUACGUGGCCAAUUCAUUGCUUCUGAUGCAGGGCACUCCAUUACGUACUACUUAUUGAUACUGAGCUUAAUUAUCCUUUUGACUUUAUUCAAUUAAGGUCCAAACUGAUGCCAGCUUUCUGAAAAGUCAUAUUGCAAGUUCGCCUGGAAGUUAGAUGAAGUAUAUUCCAUGUAUGCAAUGAAAACUCAGAUUUACUAACAUUUUAAAUAUAAUAUUAAUUAAUUUUCAUUAUAUGGAGACUCUACUACCAAUAGAACUAAUUUCAAUAUGCAGGAAAGUGCUGGAGAGUUUUGCUAACAAAAGGGGUUGUUUCUGGGGGGUCUGGAGACUUUUGGAAGGAGUUGGAAAGUUAGUUCCCAGUCCCAUCUCAGCCAAAACAGGUGAGGUACUUUGUAAAUACAUAUUUUACAAUCUUAGCCUUAUUAGAAGAAAUAGAAACAUCAGCCUGUAAAACUAUUUGCCCAUGUAGCAUUUUCUUGUGUUUUCUCAAGGAAGUUAGUAAUAAAACUGU
This is a long non-coding RNA of Gallus gallus (chicken), 2341 nucleotides long. The record is from Ensembl. Lineage: Eukaryota; Metazoa; Chordata; Aves; Galliformes; Phasianidae.